This 459-nucleotide ribosomal RNA is filed under the name uncultured bacterium. RNAcentral describes it as "partial 16S ribosomal RNA". It matches the Rfam family "Bacterial small subunit ribosomal RNA", at positions 338 to 795 of the family's 1533-position model. The record is from RNAcentral.
CCUACGGGUGGCAGCAGUGAGGAAUAUUGGUCAAUGGCCGCAGGGCUGAACCAGCCAAGUCGCGUGAGGGAUGACGGUCCUAUUGAUUGUAAACCUCUUUUGUCAGGGAGCAAAGGGCGCCACGUGUGGCGUUUUGCGAGUACCUGAAGAGAAAGCAUCGGCGAACUCCGGGCCAGCAGCCGCGGUACUACGGGGGAGGCGAGCGUUAUACGGAUUGAUUGGGUUAAGGGGGUGGCCAGGCGGAAUGUCAAGUCAGCGGUAAAAUUUCGGGGCUCAACCCGGUCGUGCCGUUGAAACUGGCGUUCUUGAGUGAGCGAGAGGUAUGCAGAAUGCGUGGUGUAGCGGUGAAAUGCAUAGAGAUCACGCAGAACUCCGAUUGCGAAGGCAGCACACCGGCGCUCAACUGACGCUCAUGCACGAAAGCGUGGGUAGCGAACAGGAUUAGAUACCCGAGUAGUC